ACGAACGCUGGCGGCGUGCCUAAUACAUGCAGGUCGAACGGCUUUCUAUGGAAGCUUGCUUCCACUGAGAAGAUAGUGGCGAACGGGUGAGUAACACGUGGGUAACCUGCCCAUAAGAGGGGGAUAACAUCCGGAAACGGGUGCUAAUACCGCAUAGUUUUCUUGAUCGCAUGAUUGAGAAAGGAAAGACGGCCUUUGUGCUGUCGCUUAUGGAUGGACCCGCGGCGUAUUAGUUAGUUGGUGAGGUAACGGCUCACCAAGACGAUGAUACGUAGCCGACCUGAGAGGGUGAUCGGCCACAUUGGGACUGAGACACGGCCCAAACUCCUACGGGAGGCAGCAGUAGGGAAUCUUCCGCAAUGGACGAAAGUCUGACGGAGCAACGCCGCGUGAGUGAAGAAAAAGUUUUCGGAUCGUAAAACUCUGUUGUCAGAGAAGAACAAGUUGGAGAGUAACUGCUCCAGCCUUGACGGUAUCUGACCAGAAAGCCACGGCUAACUACGUGCCAGCCGCCGC
This 516-nucleotide ribosomal RNA is filed under the name uncultured bacterium. RNAcentral describes it as "bacterial SSU rRNA". It matches the Rfam family "Bacterial small subunit ribosomal RNA", at positions 29 to 518 of the family's 1533-position model. The record is from RNAcentral.